AGACUGGGAUAACUCCGGGAAACCGGGGCUAAUACCGGAUGGUUGUUUGAACCGCAUGGUUCAAACAUAAAAGGUGGCUUCGGCUACCACUUACAGAUGGACCCGCGGCGCAUUAGCUAGUUGGUGAGGUAACGGCUCACCAAGGCAACGAUGCGUAGCCGACCUGAGAGGGUGAUCGGCCACACUGGGACUGAGACACGGCCCAGACUCCUACGGGAGGCAGCAGUAGGGAAUCUUCCGCAAUGGACGAAAGUCUGACGGAGCAACGCCGCGUGAGUGAUGAAGGUUUUCGGAUCGUAAAGCUCUGUUGUUAGGGAAGAACAAGUACCGUUCGAAUAGGGCGGUACCUUGACGGUACCUAACCAGAAAGCCACGGCUAACUACGUGCCAGCAGCCGCGGUAAUACGUAGGUGGCAAGCGUUGUCCGGAAUUAUUGGGCGUAAAGGGCUCGCAGGCGGUUUCUUAAGUCUGAUGUGAAAGCCCCCGGCUCAACCGGGGAGGGUCAUUGGAAACUGGGGAACUUGAGUGCAGAAGAGGAGAGUGGAAUUCCACGUGUAGCGGUGAAAUGCGUAGAGAUGUGGAGGAACACCAGUGGCGAAGGCGACUCUCUGGUCUGUAACUGACGCUGAGGAGCGAAAGCGUGGGGAGCGAACAGGAUUAGAUACCCUGGUAGUCCACGCCGUAAACGA
RNAcentral lists this ribosomal RNA (689 nucleotides) under Bacillus subtilis. RNAcentral's name for it is "bacterial SSU rRNA". It matches the Rfam family "Bacterial small subunit ribosomal RNA", at positions 135 to 809 of the family's 1533-position model. The record is from RNAcentral. Lineage: Bacteria; Bacillati; Bacillota; Bacilli; Caryophanales; Bacillaceae.